This 1972-nucleotide ribosomal RNA is filed under the name human oral metagenome. Its description in RNAcentral is "bacterial LSU rRNA". It matches the Rfam family "Bacterial large subunit ribosomal RNA", at positions 1 to 1973 of the family's 2925-position model. The record is from RNAcentral.
UAAAAUAAUUAAGGGCACACAAAGGAUGCCUAGGUAGUAAGAGCCGAUGAAGGACGUGGUAAGCUGCGAUAAGCCUAGAUAAGUUGCAAUCGAACGUAAGAGUCUAGGAUUUCCGAAUGGAGCAAUCUAUUAAGAUGGAGUCUUAAUACGAAAGAGGGAACCGCGUGAACUGAAACAUCUAAGUAACGCGAGGAAAAGAAAGUAAAAACGAUACCCAAAGUAGCGGCGAGCGAAAUGGGUCAAGCCUAAACCUUAAAUAUGUCAAGGAUACAGCCGUUGUAUUUAAGGGGUUGAGGGACAGAGUAGUGAAGAACUGUAAGAUAUUCAAUAUAGUGUAUUGAUGAAUUGGAAUUGUCUGGAAAGGCGAACCGUAGAAGGUGAAAGUCCUGUACAAGUAAAUCCUUACACAUAUAACUCUGCUCCCAAGUAACAUGGAACACGAGGAAUUCUGUGUGAAUCUGUGAGGACCAUAUCUCAUAAGGCUAAAUACUCUUACUAACCGAUAGCGCAUAGUACCGUGAGGGAAAGGUGAAAAGAACCCCUGGAGGGGAGUGAAAUAGAACCUGAAAUUGUGUGCUUACAAGCGGUCAGAGCCCAUUUGGGUGAUGGCGUGCCUUUUGGAGAAUGAUCCUGCGAGUUACGUUAAACGGCGAGGUUAAGUAUAACGGAGCCGAAGGGAAACCAAGUCUUAAUAGGGCGAUUUAGUCGUUUGGCGUAGACGCGAAACCUGGUGAUCUAAACCUGUCCAGGAUGAAGCUGUGGUAAGACACAGUGGAGGUCCUAACCCACCGCCGUUGAAAAGUUGGGGGAUGAGGUAGGUUUAGGGGUGAAAAGCCAAUCGAACCAGGAGAUAGCUCGUUCUCUCCGAAAUGUAUCUAGGUACAGCCUUGAGUGUUCAAUUAUGGGGGUAGAGCACUGAAUGAUCUAGGGGGCGUAUUGCUUACUGAAAUCAAUCAAACUCCGAAUACCAUAAUUUAUAGCUCAGGAGUGAGACUAUGGGAGUUAACUUCCAUUGUCGAAAGGGAAACAACCCAGACCACCAGCUAAGGUCCCUAAUUAUAACUAAGUGGGAAAGGAGGUGGAGAUUCACAAACAACUAGGAGGUUGGCUUAGAAGCAGCCAUACCUUUAAAGAGUGCGUAAUAGCUCACUAGUCGAGAGUCUCUGCGCCGACAAUGUAACGGGGCUAAGUUAUAAACCGAAGCUGUGGAAUCCGUAAGGAUUGGUAGGAGAGCGUUCUGUAGGCCGUUGAAGGAGAAGGGUAACCGACUCUGGAGGUAUCAGAAGUGAGAAUGCAGGAAUAAGUAGCGAGAAAGGGGGCGAGAAUCCCCCUCGCCGGAAGACCAAGGUUUUCAGGGUAAAGCUUGUCUUCCCUGAGUAAGCCGGGACCUAAGCCCAGGCUAUAAUGCGUAGGCGAAUGGAAAACAGAUUAAUAUUUCUGUGCCAGUCAUAUAUUGUGAUGGAGGGACGCAGAAGGGUAUGCGCGCGGACGAACGGAAGUGUCCGUAGAAGUAUGUAGGAUGACUCGAUAGGAAAAUCCAUUGAGUUAUAUCUGAGGUAUGAUAUACAGUCGUAAGAUGAAUGCGCAAAUCCCACGCUGCCAAGAAAAGCUUCUAACGUUAAUAUUUGACUGCCCGUACUGCAAACCGACACAGGUGGUCAGGAUGAGAAAUCUAAGGCGGACAGGCUAACUCUCGUUAAGGAACUCUGCAAAAUAACCUCGUAACUUCGGGAGAAGAGGAGCCCUUGAGGGUCAGUAUCCACGCGAUACAAAGCGCUCGAGGGUCGCAGUGAAGAGGCUCAAGCAACUGUUUAACAAAAACACAGGUCUAUGCUAAGCUGGAAGGCGAUGUAUAUGGGCUGACACCUGCCCAGUGCUGGAAGGUUAAGAGGAGGAGUGAGAGCUCCGAAUUGAAGCCCCAGUGAACGGCGGCCGUAACUAUAACGGUCCUAAGGUAGCGAAAUUCCUUGUC